This 172-nucleotide transfer RNA is filed under the name Lactobacillus jensenii 269-3. Its description in RNAcentral is "tRNA-Ser". The stretch from base 2 to 75 matches the Rfam family "tRNA". Lineage: Bacteria; Bacillati; Bacillota; Bacilli; Lactobacillales; Lactobacillaceae. The record is from RNAcentral.
UGGGCCUAUAGCUCAGCUGGUUAGAGCGCACGCCUGAUAAGCGUGAGGUCGAUGGUUCAAGUCCAUUUAGGCCCAUAUGGAGCAAUACUCAAGUGGCUGAAGAGGCGCCCCUGCUAAGGGUGUAGGUCGGAUAAUUCCGGCGCGAGGGUUCAAAUCUCUCUUGCUCCGUUUU